GACUACGGCCAUACCAGUCUGAAAGUGCCUGAUCUCGUCAGAUCUCAGAAGUUAUGCAGACUUGGGCCUUAUUAGUACUUGUAUGGGAGACCAACUAGGAACCUCAGGUGCCGUAAGCU
Molecule: ribosomal RNA, 119 nt
Filed under: Pelobates cultripes (western spadefoot toad)
Lineage: Eukaryota; Metazoa; Chordata; Amphibia; Anura; Pelobatidae
Source: RNAcentral